AACGCACCUUGCGCUCCUUGGUAUUCCGAGGAGCAUGCCUGUUUGAGUGUCAUUAAUAUAUCAACCUCCUCAGGUUUCGACUUGUCGAGUGUUUGGAUGUGGGGGUCUUUUGCUGGUCUCUUUUGAGGUCGGCUCCCCUAAAAUGCAUUAGCGGAACAAUUUGUUGACCCGUUCAUUGGUGUGAUAACUAUCUACGCUUUUGAGGUGAAACAGGUUCAGCUUCUAACAGUCCAUUAACUUGGACAAAUCUUCAUUAAUGUGACCUCAAAUCAGGUAGGACUACCCGCUGAACUUAA
Molecule: unclassified non-coding RNA, 296 nt
Filed under: uncultured Cortinarius
Lineage: Eukaryota; Fungi; Basidiomycota; Agaricomycetes; Agaricales; Cortinariaceae
Description: sequence contains ITS2
Rfam family: 5.8S ribosomal RNA (bases 1-52)
Source: RNAcentral